GCGCCCAUAGCUCAGUUGGAUAGAGCAACGGCCUUCUAAGCCGUGUGCCGGGGGUUCGAAUCCCUCUGGGCGCA
Caloramator quimbayensis is the source of this 74-nucleotide non-coding RNA. The record is from Rfam. NCBI's taxonomy places the organism in Bacteria, Bacillati, Bacillota, Clostridia, Eubacteriales, Clostridiaceae.